Molecule: ribosomal RNA, 449 nt
Filed under: uncultured Lactobacillus sp.
Lineage: Bacteria; Bacillati; Bacillota; Bacilli; Lactobacillales; Lactobacillaceae
Description: bacterial SSU rRNA
Rfam family: Bacterial small subunit ribosomal RNA
Source: RNAcentral
AUGAACGCUGGCGGCGUGCCUAAUACAUGCAAGUCGAACGAGUUCUCCCUAAAUCUUUUGAUGCUUGCAUUAAAAGAUUUAGGAUUCGGAACGAGUGGCGAACUGGUGAGUAACACGUGGGUAACCUGCCCUGAAGUGGGGGAUAACAUUUGGAAACAAAUGCUAAUACCGCAUAAUUAGUUGAAACCACAUGGUUUCAACUUGAAAGAUGGCUCUGCUAUCACUUUAGGAUGGACCCGCGGCGUAUUAGCUAGUUGGUGAGAUAAUAGCCCACCAAGGCGAUGAUACGUAGCCGACCUGAGAGGGUAAUCGGCCACAUUGGGACUGAGACACGGCCCAGACCCCUACGGGAGGCAGCAGUAGGGAAUCUUCCACAAUGGACGCAAGUCUGAUGGAGCAACGCCGCGUGAGUGAAGAAGGUUUUCGGCUCGUAAAACUCUGUUGUUAAA